CCUACGGGGGGCAGCAGUGGGGGAUAUUGCACAAUGGGGGAAACCCUGAUGCAGCGACGCCGCGUGUGGGAAGACGGUCCUCUGGAUUGUAAACCACUGUCCCCAGGGACGAAGAUGACGGUACCUGAGGAGGAAGCUCCGACUAACUACGUGCCAGCAGCCGCGGUAAUACGUAGGGAGCAAGCGUUGUCCGGAAUUACUGGGUGUAAGGGGAGCGUAGGCGGGAUGGCAAGUUGGGUGUUAAAUCUACCGGCUAAACUGGUAGUCGCACUCAAAACUGCUAUUCUAGAGUGAAGUAGAGGCAGGCGGAAUGCAUGGUGUAGCGGUGAAAUGCGUAGAUAUUAGGCGGAACACCAGUGGCGAAGGCAGCCUGCUGAGCUUUUACUGACGCUGAGGCUCGAAAGUGUGGGGAGCAAACAGGAUUAGAUACCCGUGUAGUC
Molecule: ribosomal RNA, 440 nt
Filed under: uncultured bacterium
Lineage: Bacteria
Description: partial 16S ribosomal RNA
Rfam family: Bacterial small subunit ribosomal RNA
Source: RNAcentral